UUCAAACAGCGCUUAAACAUUCAGAGCACAGGAGAUAAUGCAGAACUGCAUACAUUUUUAAUGGACUGACAGCAUUUGGAUCAGAGGGAAUUAAUCCAUCGCUUUGUCGCGGGCCUAAUAUGGCCUGUUACCCAGCCAUUAUAAGUGGAGUGACUUUGACGAAUGGGGAAUGAGAAGGGAGAUAGUGUACACAGUCACCAGGAAGCAGACUGGGAGAAACAAGCUGGUGAUGACCCAGACGGCCUGUCAAUGUUGUGGGGAAAGAGCAUGGACAUGGACCCACAUGCUAGAAUGGAGGCAUGGAAGUAUUUCUCCAGUAUUUAUUUCUAGGCAGUACAGGAUCCUCUAAGCAGUUGUAACCCCACUGAGAAAGCUGUUACACUCCAACAGAACAAGCAGAUGAUCCUGGUAAGAUACUAUCUAUAUGUGUCAUAAAUGACUCAUUAAAAACAGAACUUCUUCUGUGUCCAUUGGGAUGGAGGGUUAGUUGUUUUUCUUCUUGAGGGAACAAAAGGAGUUAGAUCCAAUAAACAAGUCACAGACUGAAUGCCUGACUGCUUAGAAUGGAUUGACACCCCAGUGUUGGUGGCCACUGCAACUUCGACCUGUUAGGAAACAGAAGGGGACUCUGGUACGCUGUCAGGUCCUGGCUGGGGUGCCUCAGGGCCCCUCGAUGUGCCUGGAGGCCAGUCAGGGCCUGACCGAAGAUGUGCCUCUUGGCAUCUCUGCACUCCACAUUUGAUUGUCCCCAAUUAGAGGCAGCUGCCCUGAGUUGCCUCCAAUUGGGGACCCUAUUUAAGUUGCCCUUUUUGGCUUUUGGGUGUGGAUCAUUGUUUGUGUUAUGUGCCUCGGUUCAUGGCGUACCACGACUUUUGUGGUUUUUCUUCCUAUUCAGGUAAUAAUAAAAGGAUGUUACCCUUCUACUGCUCUGUGCCGUCUGUCCUUCCCCCCUUCAGUGUGACACACGAAAAGCUCCCCAGACUAUGAUAAUCAUAGCCUGUCCUGCUAUCCUCUGUUGAACCAAAGCACUUUAGGUGAACCUCAUAAUUGUAAUCUGUUUAAUCUUCUUUCCUGUUUGAUGCCAGUAUUGUGUUGAGAGUAAGCAAUUUCUAAAUGUUUCUGCUUAAAUGAGCUUAGUG
Molecule: long non-coding RNA, 1139 nt
Organism: Esox lucius (northern pike)
Lineage: Eukaryota; Metazoa; Chordata; Actinopteri; Esociformes; Esocidae
Source: Ensembl